This 497-nucleotide ribosomal RNA is filed under the name uncultured bacterium. RNAcentral describes it as "partial 16S ribosomal RNA". It matches the Rfam family "Bacterial small subunit ribosomal RNA", at positions 28 to 507 of the family's 1533-position model. The record is from RNAcentral.
GAUGAACGCUGGCGGCGUGCCUAAUACAUGCAAGUCGAGCGAACAGACGAGGAGCUUGCUCCUUUGACGUUAGCGGCGGACGGGUGAGUAACACGUGGGUAACCUACCUAUAAGACUGGGAUAACUUCGGGAAACCGGAGCUAAUACCGGAUAAUAUUUCGAACCGCAUGGUUCGAUAGUGAAAGAUGGCUCUGCUAUCACUUAUAGAUGGACCUGCGCCGUAUUAGCUAGUUGGUAAGGUAACGGCUUACCAAGGCAACGAUACGUAGCCGACCUGAGAGAGUGAUCGGCCACACUGGAACUGAGACACGGUCCAGACUCCUACGGGAGGCAGCAGUAGGGAAUCUUCCGCAAUGGGCGAAAGCCUGACGGAGCAACGCCGCGUGAGUGAUGAAGGUCUUCGGAUCGUAAAACUCUGUUAUUAGGGAAGAACAAACGUGUAAGUAACUGUGCACGUCUUGACGGUACCUAAUCAGAAAGCCACGGCUAACUACGUG